This 59-nucleotide transfer RNA is filed under the name Salmo salar (Atlantic salmon). It matches the Rfam family "tRNA", at positions 7 to 64 of the family's 71-position model. From Rfam's summary of the family: Transfer RNA (tRNA) molecules are approximately 80 nucleotides in length. Their secondary structure includes four short double-helical elements and three loops (D, anti-codon, and T loops). Further hydrogen bonds mediate the characteristic L-shaped molecular structure. tRNAs have two regions of fundamental functional importance: the anti-codon, which is responsible for specific mRNA codon recognition, and the 3' end, to which the tRNAs corresponding amino acid is attached (by aminoacyl-tRNA synthetases). tRNAs cope with the degeneracy of the genetic code in two manners: having more than one tRNA (with a specific anti-codon) for a particular amino acid; and 'wobble' base-pairing, i.e. permitting non-standard base-pairing at the 3rd anti-codon position. The record is from Rfam by way of RNAcentral. Lineage: Eukaryota; Metazoa; Chordata; Actinopteri; Salmoniformes; Salmonidae.
UUAGCUCAGUUGGUAGAGCAUGGCGCUUGCAAUGCUAGGAUAGUGGGUUCGAUUCCAUA